Canis lupus familiaris (dog) is the source of this 2270-nucleotide long non-coding RNA. RefSeq lists it as uncharacterized. The record is from RefSeq and is a predicted model, not a curated record. The transcript has 3 exons. NCBI's taxonomy places the organism in Eukaryota, Metazoa, Chordata, Mammalia, Carnivora, Canidae.
AAAAAAGAAAGAAAGAAAGAAAAAGAAAAAGAACUAAAAAUGGCCUUUUAUAAACAGGAGAAAUUGGUGAGCGAGGGCUCUGAUUAUGGGACAAUUCAGUUUCUGCUGAUACUUUGUGUGUCCCUGCCUCCCCCAUCCCUCCUCUGGGCAGAAUGGAACGAGGAUUUCAUGGGCUUUUCAUGGCUCCCAGCAAGGUAAGUCUGGCAGGUGGUCUCCUUAUUUUACAGCAGAGAGAAGAUUCCCAGGGACUGGGGGGUCCUUGCUAGUAAAUGACAGCAGGGGACAUUGAAGCCAAGGUCCCCACUCCUGCUUCAUUCAGCAUGCCAGUGCCUUGUCCUCCAGAAGUAUGCCGCAGUACUUGGCCACGGUCUGUAUUAAUCAGUCCUUCAGGGUUUUCUGGAAAUGAUAAGAUGAUGGACUACAAUGUUCGGCUCCCUUGGCAAGUAUUCAGCACAUGAGAGCUAAAGUAAAAAUGAGCAACAAAGCAGUGGGCUAGGACCUGAGUGGAGGGAAAAACAAACAAAAUACCUAACCAGAUGACUCGAAGAUUCUGCUUCCUUCCUAAGAAGGGUUUCCUUUUCGUUCGGCUUUCCCCGACCUGGAGCACACAGCACUCACCCGCCGCGGGCCUUUCCCCUCCCGGGCUCAUCAGCCUGGGCUCCUGUGGCUUCUGUCUGCCCUCGCUUUGGUUUCGUUAGAAAUACACCUGCAUCCAAAGCUGAUUCCACCACUUUCCAGCUGUGAGACUUGGGACUUUCUGGUCCCUCUCCCUCCUUGCUAAAAUGUGGAUAAAAACCCCCAUCAGAGAGGCAUGCGAAGGGCCACAGGCUCCACGUGGGAAGCGGUGCCUUCUGAGGCCUGACCUGCUGCGCACAUGUUAAGGAGCUCUUCUGUGACGUGAUGAAAUGUGGACCAGAAGGAGGAAAGACAGGCGCACCUGUUGCUCACGUGCAGCAGUCUCCUCUGAGCACAAGAAAAGCCACACGGUUACUCCUGCCCAUGGGCCUCUCAAGAAGACAGGGAGCUGGGGAGACAGGUCCUUCUCAGCCUCCCCACACCUUCGUACUGAGAUCUUCUACCUGCAGUGCCUAAGCAUCCAAACCAACCUUCCUUGCAAGGGCUUGGGGACAUGUGUGCUGCUGCCUAGGCAGCCACUGACAAGCCACUGAUGGCUUUGACAUCCCUCACUCACAUCCACUUUGACCCCCCAGGGAAUUGGAGUGAGGGGUGCCUGGCUUCCUGCCCCCCCCUCCCCACUCAGGCAAUGCUACAUCUACUUUAGUAGAAGCCGCAGUAUCACUUCCAAGUCCCAACAGGCUCUAUUCGGGAAGCAGAAAGCCUGUCCCAAUGGUUGACACCUUCAGUCACCUGCUCCACAGAGCACACUUGUCACCCCUGUGACAGUCAUGUCUUCUGUGACCCGUAUCUUAGCAAGAGAUGGGGGGUAUGUUUGCUCAGAAAGCAAAACUCCAUUGUCACAAUCUGUAGAAGCUCCUGGAGGAAUCUCAUUGAGAGAAGAUGUCUUUUAAUCAGAGAGCCUUCAGUUGUUCCUUGUCCUUAAAAUCAGCAUUACGGUCUGAACUGUGUCCCUCACAAGGUGCUGUCAUGUCCAGUGGGAGUCUGGAGGGUAUUCUGGAGCCCUGCGAGGCAUUCUACAGGGUUGCUGGUCAGUCUCCAUCUCUAGAUCUCCUAGCCUAGAUGGAGGACUCAUUCCUCUUUGGACUUUCAUUUUCUAGCACAUUCCUGGUACAUAGGAAUAAAGAAUGAAUGAAUAAAUAAUGGGAUACAUGAAUAAAUAGGACUGUUUUUGUAAAAUACAGACAGCAUCCAAACAGGAGCAAGCUGACAUCCUUGACAAUCAAGAGAGACAGGACACAUUGCAGUCGUCAAUAUGCCUUACUAAUUGUGCACCUACUGUAUGCAGAACAUGUUGCAAAAAAAGGAAGUGGCUUCACCAGGUUCCUCUUGCAUAGUUUGGACAUAAGUUUUCCAAAAAUCAAUUUUCUAAGGCAUUUCUCUCACAUCAGUUUCUCGCUGUGGCCCAGGAGAAGGUGUCUCUGUAAUGUGUGUGUGAGGGAUAGGAGGGAGGCGGUGAGGAGAGAGACAUUGGAAUGUCACUCAUAAGCCUCUGGUGGAUUAAAUGAGGCGGGCUCUCAUUAAGCUCUUAGCUCACCUGAUUUGUUAUGCGAAAUGAACAUUGCCUGCUCUUUCCUCUCAUCGUGAGGGUGUCAGAUUUGUUCCCCAUGGAGACAUAGCCACAUACCCUGUUA